AAUUUAUUUAUUUAUUUUUUUCUCCACAGCUUUAAGGCCAUUUUCCAAGACUACUGGAUUAGGUGUAUGUUGUACGGACAGACCAGCGUUAGUGUGGCUUGCAAUAUCCUUUGCAAAGCAUUCAUCUUGUAUUACAGUGCCUGCAAUGAUAGACCACAGCUUGUCUGAGACUGAAGAUCUUGCUGGAGCUCUAAUGAAGCAUCCGGUGUGA
RNAcentral lists this long non-coding RNA (211 nucleotides) under Struthio camelus australis. RNAcentral describes it as "lncRNA (ENSSCUG00000009882.1)". Lineage: Eukaryota; Metazoa; Chordata; Aves; Struthioniformes; Struthionidae. The record is from RNAcentral.